GACUGUUUACCAAAAACAUAGCCCUAUAAAUUAUUUAAGGUGGUAUCUGCCCAGUGACUAAAAACAGAAAUCAAAAUUUCAGAAUUAGUUAAACGGCCGCUGUAUCUUGACGGUGAUAAUGUAGGAAAAUAAAUUGUUGUUUAAUUGACGAACGUAGGUGAAUGAUUUUACGAGGUUUCCACUGUCUUAAAUUUAAGUAAUUAAAAUUUAAAUAAUAGUGAAGAUGCUAUUUAGAACUGUAAGACGAAAAGUCCCUAUAAAGCUUAACUAUACAUUGAUGACUCUUAAAAAUUCGAAUUUUUAAGAAUUUAAAUCGGUGAGGUAGUUUUGUUGGGGCAACAGCAUUUUAAAAAUAAAGAAUAGCAACCAUAUAUAAUAUGUUUAACAUAAUAUUUAUUGUUUAAUCAAUGAAUUUAACAAUCACUAAGUGGGGUAAAUGACCUGUCAUUCAGGUAAAAAUCAAAUGACAAUAAAUAGAUAAAAGCUACUUUAGGGUUAACAGGUUAAUUUUAUCUUAGAGAUGGUAUCGAAGAUAAAGUUUGACACCUCGAUGUUGAAUUAAGAUAUCCUGAUUAAUGCAGCAGUUAUCAAGGGUUGGUCUGUUCGACCAUUAAAAUCUUACAUGAUUUGAGUUCAUUCCGU
RNAcentral lists this ribosomal RNA (642 nucleotides) under Halopteris alternata. RNAcentral describes it as "partial 16S ribosomal RNA". It matches the Rfam family "Bacterial large subunit ribosomal RNA", at positions 1798 to 2619 of the family's 2925-position model. The record is from RNAcentral. Lineage: Eukaryota; Metazoa; Cnidaria; Hydrozoa; Leptothecata; Halopterididae.